Molecule: ribosomal RNA, 253 nt
Filed under: uncultured bacterium
Lineage: Bacteria
Description: partial 16S ribosomal RNA
Rfam family: Bacterial small subunit ribosomal RNA
Source: RNAcentral
UACGUAGGUGGCAAGCGUUGUCCGGAUUUAUUGGGUUUAAAGGGUGCGUAGGCGGCCCUAUAAGUCAGUGCUGAAAUAUCCCGGCUUAACCGGGAGGGUGGCAUUGAUACUGUAGGGCUUGAGUGUAGUCGAGGUAGGCGGAAUUGACGGUGUAGCGGUGAAAUGCUUAGAUAUCGUCAAGAACACCGAUAGUGUAGACAGCUUACUAGGCUGUAACUGACGCUGAGGCACGAAAGUGUGGGGAUCAAACAGG